GAUGAACGCUGGCGGCGUGCCUAAUACAUGCAAGUCGAGCGAACAGACGAGGAGCUUGCUCCUCUGACGUUAGCGGCGGACGGGUGAGUAACACGUGGAUAACCUACCUAUAAGACUGGGAUAACUUCGGGAAACCGGAGCUAAUACCGGAUAAUAUAUUGAACCGCAUGGUUCAAUAGUGAAAGACGGUUUUGCUGUCACUUAUAGAUGGAUCCGCGCCGCAUUAGCUAGUUGGUAAGGUAACGGCUUACCAAGGCGACGAUGCGUAGCCGACCUGAGAGGGUGAUCGGCCACACUGGAACUGAGACACGGUCCAGACUCCUACGGGAGGCAGCAGUAGGGAAUCUUCCGCAAUGGGCGAAAGCCUGACGGAGCAACGCCGCGUGAGUGAUGAAGGUCUUCGGAUCGUAAAACGCUGUUAUUAGGGAAGAACAAAUGUGUAAGUAACGAUGCACGUCUUGACGGUACCGAAGCAGAAAGCCACGGCUAACUACGG
This 496-nucleotide ribosomal RNA is filed under the name uncultured bacterium. RNAcentral describes it as "partial 16S ribosomal RNA". It matches the Rfam family "Bacterial small subunit ribosomal RNA", at positions 28 to 506 of the family's 1533-position model. The record is from RNAcentral.